UACAUGGACACAUCAGAAAAAGUGUGAGAUGGGCAAGCGCUCCUAACUGAAGCAUCAAGGACCAAUGAGUCUACAGGACCCACUGUUCUCUCAACUUCCAAUGCAGCCCUUCUUCUGCUACCUUACCCUGAGGACUUGGACAUUCCAGCGUAUCGCAGAACCGGAAUUCAGCUCCCAUUGCCCACAACAGUGCUUCCCUGCCUCAGUUUCAUAGAAAUGAUCCCUGUGUAACUCAGCAGCUCAUAUACAGUGAUAAAGUAUCAAGUCCAUCGUUUUCCCAAAUCAAGAGCAAUGCAUCCCACACAAAUGGGCAAGAAUCGCAGCUGACAGAGGAAAACUAUAGUGAAAUCUUCAGAAGAAACCAAGAAAUGUUGGGCAUGAUUGAAAUUCUGGAAUGAAGAUACAGAGAACCCAAGGGCUGAUUCUGCAUGGAUGAGAGAGCCGGUUUAUAUCCAGUAUCACGAACAGUAACUUCUUUGAUACUUGUAACAAUAUUAUAAGUAGAGAUAAAUUCUGUUAUAGAUGAGGAAACUGGGCAUUUGAGUGUUACAGCUGGUCAAUGACAGAGCCCUGGCUCUAUCCCAGAAAUGUGGGAUGCUAAACGUGUGCUCUAGAGGUCUGUAUAAUCCUGAUUGUUGAUGCGGGGACCUGGCCUCAUUCAUCUUUGUAUCCUCCAUGUCCAAUACAAACCCUGGCAUAGAGUAGAUUUUUCAGUACUUGUUUGUUGAGUGAAUGUUUCAAGAGCUCCAUUGUCUCCUAACUAAAGCAUAUAGGUGUGUUGGUUUUAUGGGAAGAAAACUGCUCAACCAGCACCAACUCUGGUUGGCAGAGUUGUGCAUCGAUGUGCAAGAGGAUGCAUGAUUGUAAGGAGACCCUCCUGGGUCAGUGGAACUGUUGCAAGAUGCUGGCAGUGGAUUUACAAGGAAUAGAGGAAGCCAUGGCAAUGGAGUCCAAUCAUUUACCUUUAAAACUGUUUAUAGACUAAAGUGUAUAUGUGGCCCAUGUUGCCAAACCUUUUGAUAAAUAUACUGGCCCGGAGUAGAGUAAGUCAUGGCUGUACCUUCCAAGUAACAGACUGUCCUCACAAGCUGUAUACCUAAUUAGACUCUGAUAAUCUGUAUAAAUUAGCAUUUGCUAGUGAUAAAUAUCACACACCAAGCCUUAAAUAAUACAUUAGACUUAAUUGAAUAAAUGCAUAUAUUAUGGCCUUAUAAUGCAUAUUUGCCAUAAUGAGUUAUCUUCCAUGCACAAACAAACAGCAAUUCUGAUUAAUCAGGUGGGGCAAUUGUGCUGUUAAAACUCCAGGUUCUGCAAGGAAGUUCUCACUGUUGGUAAGAUAAAAGCAAUAAAAAUUCUUUCCUUGACUGUGUUGGAUAAAUUUUCUCUUUAGGAAUCUCCCUAUCUUUGAACCUUCAGGAUUUUGCAGUGAUGUCAAGGUAUACACCCAUGUCUUCACUCCCAA
Pan troglodytes (chimpanzee) is the source of this 1462-nucleotide long non-coding RNA. RefSeq lists it as uncharacterized. The transcript is spliced from 3 exons. The record is from RefSeq and is a predicted model, not a curated record. Lineage: Eukaryota; Metazoa; Chordata; Mammalia; Primates; Hominidae.